GAUGAACGCUGGCGGCGUGCUUAACACAUGCAAGUCGAACGAAACACCUUAUUUGAUUUUCUUCGGAACUGAAGAUUUGGUGAUUGAGUGGCGGACGGGUGAGUAACGCGUGGGUAACCUGCCCUGUACAGGGGGAUAACAGUCAGAAAUGACUGCUAAUACCGCAUAAGACCACAGCACCGCAUGGUGCAGGGGUAAAAACUCCGGUGGUACAGGAUGGACCCGCGUCUGAUUAGCUGGUUGGUGAGGUAACGGCUCACCAAGGCGACGAUCAGUAGCCGGCUUGAGAGAGUGAACGGCCACAUUGGGACUGAGACACGGCCCAAACUCCUACGGGAGGCAGCAGUGGGGAAUAUUGCACAAUGGGGGAAACCCUGAUGCAGCGACGCCGCGUGAGUGAAGAAGUAUCUCGGUAUGUAAAGCUCUAUCAGCAGGGAAGAAAAUGACGGUACCUGACUAAGAAGCCCCGGCUAACUACGUGCCAGCAGCCGCCGCGG
Molecule: ribosomal RNA, 497 nt
Filed under: uncultured bacterium
Lineage: Bacteria
Description: partial 16S ribosomal RNA
Rfam family: Bacterial small subunit ribosomal RNA
Source: RNAcentral